UGCGGGCGGUCGUGCGGGCUUUGUCAGCAGGCCAGCGGGGAGGGCGGCCGGCGGUCCGCGUGCGGGGCGCGCGCCGUCCUCUCGCCGCUGGGCGCCGGGGUCUGAGAGAUGCCAAUCUAACCGAGUCUUCAGGCGAUACCUUGCUCCUGUCCACAGAGGUGGGACUUUUUGUAGAUGUAACAUUGUAACGGUAUCUUAAUAAUGGUGAUAACUGCAGCAUCCCUCUUACGGAGAAUACAGAGAGAAAUGAGGGGGGCGGACUCUGUAUUUUCACAAGCCUAACUUGGUGGCUCCAGCCCUUCCUGGAGUGAUGGUGAUGGAUUCCUGACUCUCCCGGAAAGGUCCUGGGGACGAUGGGGCUUGCAAGGCUGAGCUGAGAAGGCCCAGACCGCAUUCACAAGCCGGUGAUGGAAGGGGUGCUCAGGGAAGCAGCCGACCCAGAACAGGGCGAGGCCUUGAACCAGUUCAGGGAGCUGUCAGGCAUGUCCAGUGCUGCUUCGGUUUGUGGGAGAUGACUGUUGAAAGGACACUGAACUUGUCAGGAAAGGAGAAGACCGUUGGCAUCAUCGGGCAGAGUCCUGGGAGCAAAAACCAAAUGGCUGUGCGGUGGGGUGGGAGGAGGAGAUAGCAGCUAGCAGCUGGCUCAGCCUUAAGCGAGUCACCUCCCCGAGCCUCGUGGAUGGUUGUGAGGAAAGAAGAAGAGCACCCGCCAGGCACUCCACCCCCAACACGGCUGCAGUGGCAGAAGCUCAGGUUGAUGACAGUGGCGGCCGCGAGGCAGCGCAGAGGUGCAGCUUCUCCUGGAGCUCUAGUCCGUGUCUUCCUCGUGUGUCUUUUUACUCUCCUUUUCCCAUUAUUCCCAAGGGUGAAGCUUUGCAAACCUUCCCGCUUCCUUUCUUUAGGCUGUAAGCAGCAGACAGCGACCUUGGCUAACUUGUGAGCCCAAGGCUGUAACACCCUUUCACCAGUGCAGACAGCUUCUAGUGCCUGCAGCGGGCACUGCCGCCUCACCAUCUCUGAGCCCCUCUGGGCUGCUCGCAGGCUGCACUGCCAGGCUGAGCUUCCACUUCAUUCCCAGCACUGAGGCUUGCCCCAUCUCUCAGCAUCAACUGUGUAUUUAGACAGUUUCAUGUUAUAUUUUGUCCAGCAAAUUCUGUAUGUUAUAACAGAAGAGUGGGCCACAUUAGCCUCGGAUGUUAUGGAACCAGAAGUCUGGCGUAUUUUUACUUCCUUUGUUCGUUCCAUUCAGGUUUCUUUAAAUGAAAGAGUAUCAAUUUAAUUUUGCUUGAAUUCACAGAAGAAAAAGGAACUAAGCAGAAACUGAAAGAUUGCUGAAUUUAAGAUAAAUGUUUAUUCAAAGCAAGGUAUAUUUAAUUUUUAAAACUUCCUCUAAAGUUAAAAAAAAGUUAUGAAAAUCAUGAAAAGGCAUACAUUUUUGAAGCUAUAUUCUUGUAAAUAUAUGCAAGCCUGUUUUCAGGUGGUAGAACAGUCAUUUUAAACAAAAAAAUCAGAAAAUAUCACCUCCAAAACAAAAAACCAAGUCUUCCCCACCUUUUUUUGAAUUAAGAAAAAUAACAAGAUUUAAAAUAUAAGCUUACUUUUGUAAUACUAAUCCCAGCUGAUCUAAGCAAAAUAUCCUGUAAAAGUGACAUCAUAGUUGGGAAGGGAAAAAAUCUUCGACAGCGGGAAAUGGGCAGUGGAGGUAGACAGGCCUGGCUCUGAACCUGAGCUCUGCCACUUAGCAGCCCUGGGUGGUUGACUUUCUCAGCCUCCUGAAAUAGAGUAAAUAAUAGAGGUCAUAGCUGUCUCACAGGGUUUGGCGGUGUCCCUGAGACCAUGCAGGCCGGUUCAGCACCGCCUGGUUGGGGUUUGAGGGGCCCUCAUCAGUAACACCCCUCCUGCCCUCCCAGGUCUGCACCAGUGAGGCCCAUGAGCGAAAGGUCACCUCAGUACUGGUCAAAGCCUAGGUUGGAGUGACAUUGGACUCCUCAGGCGAGUGCUGGUUAGACACUGUCCUGCCUGCUGGACACCCUGUCGAAGAGGUUGGGUGCUGCAUGCCACUUAUUCUCUCAAACCUUUCACUUGGUGGACUCCUUCCACCUGUCUGGGGAAGAGAAGCGGGCGGAACGCGUCAGGGAGCAUCCUUCCUCUUGGCGCCGCAGGCACAGGGCUGGCUGCUCCCCCCAGCGCCUGAUGUGUCGUGGGGCCUCGGGGCGCCCGCGAGGGUGUUGGUGCUCAGAACACCGGGUGCCUCUGUGCGAAUGAGCUUGAAGAACGCCAGAAAGUGUUGCAGACGGAUGGGUAUAGUGUGAGCCCUUGUUUAUAUCUGAAAAUCAUGUGUACCUAAGUAAAUGUAUCAUUGUUUUUGUUUAAUCAGAGGUCUGGAUGAAAGUGUAUAAACUGAACAGCUAACUGGUUCUCUGUUGGAUUGCUGGGGGUUAUCAUAGUCUAUAUUUUAUGUUUACCACUUGAAAUAUUUUUACAAGGUGUAUCUUAUGUUUUUAAUCGCUAAGAAUUAACAAGAUAUAAAAGUAAAGUAAAACAGGAUAUGAGACUGAGGAGUGUGGUCCUGAUUUCAUAAUACAUUGGUGCAGAAAAGCACUAGAGGAAAAAUGUCCAUGUGUAAUCUGAGUGGUGGGGUUAAGGGUAAUUUUAUUGUUAUUUUUUAAGUUUUUCUUAAAUAGCAUAAUCAUCUGCCUUUAUACCUUGAAAAAAUAACUAGUUAAAAGUAAUUUUUAUAAGCAGAAAAGAUUUUAAACCAAGUUAGUGGGCCUUUAACUCAGAAGAACAUUCUCAGCGAACGUCACCAGGCAGUGGUCGCAAAUGCUGUGUCACAGGCACCCCAAGAGGGCUUCUGCUCCAGGAAGCUGUGUUGCACAUCUCACACGGAGAGGAAUGCCUCACGUAGACUGGUGCCCAGCUUCUCACCCUUCUUGUCAGCUCUCGGUGUGCGGGUUCAGUUUCUUCGUCAUCACAGGGAGCGUUGCAUCUGAAUAGUCAGGUUGUCUAAUAGCAGUAUUUAAGCAUGGGUUCAUUUUGCUGUAACAGAGAUUCAAAAAUAGUGUUUCCAACAGGAAACUUGGUUUCUCGUGUUCCAUCUCACAGGCAGGUGGGCGGCUCUGCCCCUCCAGCACCCUGGAGCCUGCCGUGCUGUCUCGUGCACGUCACCGCAGGUGGGCGAGAGGGUGGGAGGCGGGUAGCACACGCACAUCCCUUCCGUUCCUGUCUCACAGCUGGAAUCAGUCACAGGGUCACACCUCACUUCAGGGGACUUCAGGAAAUGAAGUCAUUCGCUGCUGUGUGUCCACUAAAAUUUCUGGAGGGGUUUCUAUCACUCAGAGGAAGCAGGGACGCCGGGCAAUGUGUCUCUGCCACAGUUUACCCCGUGGGCCACCCUGGGUCCCACACCAGGUCAUGCUCAGUUACUGCUUCCCGCCCAGAGCCCAGAUCUCUGUGUGUGGCCUUCUCCCGGCACCAGGGCCUCUUCACGUGGUCACAGUCUAAACUCAGACAAGUCCCGGCCUCCCCAAAUGCUGUCUCCUCACCCACCACAUAGAUGCCCCCACUCAGGAAGGGGAAGAACCCCAAACCCACAGCAGUCACUGGUCCACAGCGGCUGCGGUUCCCAGUGGAGUCUGCGAGCGCGGCCUGAACUGGUGGCCACUGAAGUGAAGGAGUCCCAGGACCCAGCGGAAAUGAGGACCUCUGUCGACCAGAAGACAAGCACAGGACCGGUUAUGGCAGCUCUGUCCCCAAGCCCGAGCUGCCAUCCCCUCGGUGUUGGUGGGUAGGAGAGAGGAGGGCGCGCGGCGGUGUGUUCACGCGGUGGAGGCCGCACACCGUGAGGUCUGUGCCACACAGGCGGCCUCCCCAGCGCGGCGCUCAGCGUCAGCAGACACGUGGUGGGGUCAUGACCCUGCUCGGGAGUUAAUUAGAUAGUGUGGAACGUUCUACAACCUCAGGGGUGUUCUAAAAAGCACUGAAUUGUGCACUUUAAAAUGGUGAAUUUUAUGGUGUGUGAAUUCUAUCUCCAUA
Molecule: RNA transcript, 4035 nt
Organism: Balaenoptera ricei (Rice's whale)
Lineage: Eukaryota; Metazoa; Chordata; Mammalia; Artiodactyla; Balaenopteridae
Gene: ZNF623
Gene name: zinc finger protein 623
Exons: 2
Source: RefSeq, a predicted model, not a curated record